ACGUACACUCCUGCGGGAGGCAGCAGUAGGGAAUCUUCCACAAUGGGUGCAAACCUGAUGGAGCAAUGCCGCGUGAGUGAAGAAGGUCUUCGGAUCGUAAAGCUCUGUUGUUAGAGAAGAACACGUGCUAGGUAACUACUAGCGCCUUGACGGUAUCUAACCAGAAAGUCACGGCUAACUACGUGCCAGCAGCCGCGGUAAUACGUAGGUGACAAGCGUUGUCCGGAUUUAUUGGGCGUAAAGGGAGCGCAGGCGGUCUGUUUAGUCUAAUGUGAAAGCCCACGGCUUAACCGUGGAACGGCAUUGGAAACUGACAGACUUGAAUGUAGAAGAGGAAAAUGGAAUUCCAAGUGUAGCGGUGGAAUGCGUAGAUAUUUGGAGGAACACCAGUGGCGAAGGCGAUUUUCUGGUCUAACAUUGACGCUGAGGCUCGAAAGCGUGGGGAGCGAACAGGAUUAGAAACCCUGGUAGUCCC
Molecule: ribosomal RNA, 475 nt
Filed under: uncultured organism
Description: partial 16S ribosomal RNA
Rfam family: Bacterial small subunit ribosomal RNA
Source: RNAcentral